UAGAGUUUGAUCCUGGCUCAGGAUGAACGCCGGCGGUGUGCCUAAUACAUGCAAGUCGUACGCACUGGCCCAACUGAUUGAUGGUGCUUGCACCUGAUUGACGAUGGAUCACCAGUGAGUGGCGGACGGGUGAGUAACACGUAGGUAACCUGCCCCGGAGCGGGGGAUAACAUUUGGAAACAGAUGCUAAUACCGCAUAACAACAAAAGCCACAUGGCUUUUGUUUGAAAGAUGGCUUUGGCUAUCACUCUGGGAUGGACCUGCGGUGCAUUAGCUAGUUGGUAAGGUAACGGCUUACCAAGGCGAUGAUGCAUAGCCGAGUUGAGAGACUGAUCGGCCACAAUGGAACUGAGACACGGUCCAUACUCCUACGGGAGGCAGCAGUAGGGAAUCUUCCACAAUGGGCGCAAGCCUGAUGGAGCAACACCGCGUGAGUGAAGAAGGGUUUCGGCUCGUAAAGCAUCUUUGUUGGAGAAGAACGUGCGUGAGAGUAACUGUUCACGCAGUGACGUAUCCACCAGAAUGCCG
Molecule: ribosomal RNA, 528 nt
Filed under: Limosilactobacillus reuteri
Lineage: Bacteria; Bacillati; Bacillota; Bacilli; Lactobacillales; Lactobacillaceae
Description: bacterial SSU rRNA
Rfam family: Bacterial small subunit ribosomal RNA
Source: RNAcentral